This 499-nucleotide ribosomal RNA is filed under the name uncultured bacterium. RNAcentral describes it as "bacterial SSU rRNA". It matches the Rfam family "Bacterial small subunit ribosomal RNA", at positions 29 to 520 of the family's 1533-position model. The record is from RNAcentral.
AUUGAACGCUGGCGGAAUGCUUUACACAUGCAAGUCGAACGGCAGCACGGGAGCUUGCUCCUGGUGGCGAGUGGCGAACGGGUGAGUAAUGCGCCGGAACGUGCCGAGUAAUGGGGGAUAACGCAGCGAAAGUUGUGCUAAUACCGCAUACGCCCUGAGGGGGAAAGUGGGGGAUCGCAAGACCUCACGUUAUUCGAGCGGCCGACGUCUGAUUAGCUAGUUGGUGGGGUAAAGGCCUACCAAGGCGACGAUCAGUAGCGGGUCUGAGAGGAUGAUCAGCCACACCGGAACUGAGACACGGUCCGGACUCCUACGGGAGGCAGCAGUGGGGAAUAUUGGACAAUGGGCGAAAGCCUGAUGCAGCCAUGCCGCGUGUGUGAAGAAGGCUCUAGGGUUGUAAAGCACUUUCAGUAGGGAGGAAAGUCGAUAGUUAAUACCUAUCGGCCGUGACGUUACCUACAGAAGAAGCACCGGCUAACUCCGUGCCAGCAGCCGACGG